Cephus cinctus (wheat stem sawfly) is the source of this 3401-nucleotide long non-coding RNA. RefSeq lists it as uncharacterized. The transcript has 3 exons. NCBI's taxonomy places the organism in Eukaryota, Metazoa, Arthropoda, Insecta, Hymenoptera, Cephidae. The record is from RefSeq and is a predicted model, not a curated record.
AAGAGAUGCAAAAUCUUGCAAGGAUAAAAGUAACGUCUCUUGAUAUGAAUUUUGGCAGAGAAACAAUGUAGAAAAAAGUAAAUCUCCUUUGCGACGAGUCGAUAGGAAAUGGCCAGUGGUUUAUGAAGCAUCCCCAAGGGAAACGGGGAAUCCCAGACGUCGUGGGAGUCCUUCCAAAACUGAGCUCCCAUCCUGAGGAAUGUCUAUGUAACGUUUUGCGUUUAUAGUCGAUCUAUAAAUAAUAUCCGCGCAAUGAAGUGUCCCGGCAUCCACUAAUGCGCGGUGCACGAGCGAAUGAAAACGUGGUUAGUUAAUAAGUCUUUUACGAUUGCGCAAAUGCCUCGAGAAAAUAAUGAAAUCCCCAUUGCCUGACAACCGAGUACAAAUGAGUCAUUAAGGGCAGCCGCAACUGAUAAUAUACAAACUGGUCAGUAGCGGCAUUAUGAUUUUAUCCGAAAGCGUGAUGGCAGCUAAGCUUUUCAAAGUUUCCCACAACAUAUAAUAUACAAGCGAGCGUGCAUGUACGAGGCAACGCGGGCAGUAGGGAGAAGUUUGUGAAGUGUACUUCGUCCGUACGAAGUUGAGAACCGUCUUGCUGAAACACUUGGGACUGGACAAGAGUGGUAAGGCGGUAACUCCACUCUUUGUAACUUUACGAAGGGGGGACGACCCAGGUUCCACGAGCUGCGGCCUUUUAUUUCUGGCUUACACUCAGGACUCUUUCGGUCUCUCACUCUCGUUAGUCAACCGACACACCGCUCAUUAGCAAUUCUAAGUUCAGCCAUUAUCCAGAGAACAGUUAUCCGCGAGUUUACCGAUCGGCCGAUCGAGGAACAAGCCCGUCGGGCCCGUCGAAACCGACGAGCGUCUUUUCACGACUUUCCUUCAUGUAAGGCAAGACCACGGAGUUGAUAUAAGAAAUCACAUUAAGAAUGACAGAAGAAAACGAAUAAAAACAGAGACUCUCCUCAAAAUCGAUAAUUACGUGAGAACAGCGAGGAAAAGAAAAAUGAUCCAAGUAACCUACGCCGGAUGAAGAAGGUCGAGGGUCCAAAUAAGCUCUCGAAAUUUUCGCAAUUUUCAAACUCUUCGUUUCGAGCACGUCAUUCCAUCGUUAGUGGAAACAUACCAGGUACCAUUAAAAUCCAAAGCAAUGAGCACGGUAGAAAUUGAAGUUAAGUCCCUUUGCCUCUAGACACUGCCUCUCCACCUUAGGUGAAUCUGUAUAAGGGUGCGGGGCUUCGUAGCCUCCGACGCUCAGUCUCUCUCCGUCGCUCCAACGGACAACAGACCAGCCGAGCACGGCGAUGGGGCAGGGAAGCGACUACUUAAAGUUGGCGGAAAGUUUGAUUCGGCAGCAAAGUUAACUCAGUUAAGUUCUCCGCUCCUAAAGCGAAACUUUGCUUCUCUCUUGCCCCCCCCUCACACUCUUUACUUACACACUUGUACAAGGGAGCUCGCGCGCGCUUUCUGCAGGCCUCGGUCCUACAUCUUUCUCGAACGGCUAGUAUACGCUUUGGGAAUUGCUUAUAUACAAGACGCGAGUAUUUUGAUUAUACGAAUAAUUAAUAAUUCAUAAGGACAUUUCACAACCGACAUUCGUACACGAGUAACCGUUUAUCAAUUCAACUGAACCAGCAUACGUAAUAUCCGUAUGGCGAUCGCCAGCAUCGAGUAAUUAAUUCAAGGCGUGACGUGUCGCCGAAAAAGAAAGCAAUUUGAAUUAGUCGAAGAAUUAAAUGAAGAUACUACCGGAAACUCGAUGAUAAUUUAACGAAUCGAACGGAUGGCUGGAGACAAAGUUUCACGAAACUCAGGGACGCCCCAAGUACCGUUUACUCGCCGCGAGUCCCCAAAAGAAACCGGUCGCAGUAAUUACGAGAAAUGUACCGAGGGAAUUUAAAAUAAAAAUAUUAAAAAAAUAAAGACGUUCGCAAAGGCCCCUGGGGCAGUUGAGAUCCCUGCAGAGGCCGACGAUUCGUUAAUAGCCACUGGUGAAAUUUACCGGUGCCAUAUUGCAUACGUGGACUCUCGAAUUUGUUUGGAAGUUCAAAGAAGCGUCCUUGAAUAACGGCCAAUACUGCAUGUGCGUGUCUCAUACACUUCGGGGUAUUCAAUCUCAGAAAGAAAGAGAUUAGUGAACAGUGAAGCUUCUAAAUCUACCAAACGUAACGAGCGCGGCCUUGGACACCGCUCCCAUGUCAUGAAACUAACAAAACAGCACGCCACACUCGAAUACGACUAUUUCACGAAGUAACGAUUGGUUCGAGCCAUAUAUACUGUUACACCGGAAAACCCGAUCGUGAGAUAGAGAGAGAUGCGGUACAACAGCAGAGAGAGAGGGAGAAAAUCACGGAUACCCCACAGCCACGAAGGGACAGCGAGUGUAGACAGAGAGAAGUUUUACAUGCGUCAAAGUUCCUUUGAGAUACGCCAGGUUUCGGCAGGGUUCAGAAAGCACGUUAGUAGUCCGUCGACACGACGGCAUCACGGAGUAGCAUAUACGAAGCAACUUGAGCGUACAUAAACGUGAGUGAUAUAUAUGUAUACAUAUAUCCUGGCAACUAGAUGGUGUAUAUCUGCAUAUACGCUUGCAGUAUAUCAAGCGUAUAUCAAGCGUGUGUUCUAAUACAAAGAGAAGUGAGCAUAGACCGCCGUUACAGGGGCGCAUGCAGACACAGGUUAACCCGCGGUGCGUAGCGGCAGGAGAACGAGGAGAGGGAGGUGGAGUAGUAGUUUCAUGGAGUUUAGUUCCUCGGUAGGAUGGCAUCUUGACUCCUAGUAGUGGAGUGUGGCAAGCAAUGGCCGGCCCGAUCGAUGUCUCGGCAACUUCCCACCCUCGACAGCUUCCCACCGCCUCUCGCCUAAACUCCCUCGACAAUCCGCCCCUGCUUCUGUACCCCGAACUAAACCCUGGAGCUGCUUACUGCUCGUGUCUGUUUACAAUGGCGAUGCGCUACCCCCAUUAUACGUGGCUCGUACUUAACCUUCGGACGACUAUGAGAACGAUGUUCAGGCGUGCAUGAGGAGAAGGAAACUCCUCGCGUUAUGGAAAAGUUUCACCGGUCCUCUUUUGUUACCCAACCUACUUAUGAUGUAGAUGUCAGGAAAAAAUUCUCUCUGAUAUAACCGCUCGCUACCGAGUCUCGACGAUGAUUGCCGUUACGAUUAUGUACUCGUGCAAUUUUCUCACCCGUUAUUUCAGCUACGUACUUACGUGCUAUAGAUUCGUAUAUAUACAGAUAUACUAUAUCGUACACAUUCCAGCUUGGUAAAUCAGGCUCGCUUGGCGUACCGUGGGCUGACGAUGAUGUCUCCCUUAACGAAGUCACCCUCUGACUUUGGUCCUCGUUUCAAGAAACUUAUACGGUGGCAUCCUCCCCCCUAUCUCUCGCUCUUCA